This 104-nucleotide ribosomal RNA is filed under the name Periophthalmus magnuspinnatus. The record is from RNAcentral. Lineage: Eukaryota; Metazoa; Chordata; Actinopteri; Gobiiformes; Gobiidae.
UCUAUUUUCAUUAUUACCAUUAUAAAUAUCGUUUAAACUAAAGCAAGGUUGGGCCUGGUUAGUACUUGGAUGGGAGACCAAUGGGAAUACCAGGUGCAACAGCG